UGGCUCUGGCAUCGAUGAAGAACGCAGCGAAAUGCGAUAAGUAGUGUGAAUUGCAGAAUUCCGUGAAUCAUCGAAUCUUUGAACGCACAUUGCGCCCCGAGGUAUUCCUCGGGGCAUGCCUGUUCGAGCGUCAUUUACACCCUCAAGCUCUGCUUGGUGUUGGGCGUCUGUCCCCGCGACCCGCGCGGACUCGCCUCAAAGCGAUUGGCGGCCGGUACCGAAGCCCGGAGUGCAGCAGAAUUGCGCUCCCCGCCCGCGUACCUCCCCCCACAAGCGAACCUUUCUUCUUGUUUGACCUCGAAUCAGGUAGGGAUACCCGCUGA
This 323-nucleotide unclassified non-coding RNA is filed under the name uncultured fungus. Its description in RNAcentral is "partial contains 5.8S ribosomal RNA and internal transcribed spacer 2". The stretch from base 1 to 133 matches the Rfam family "5.8S ribosomal RNA", at positions 22 to 154 of the family's 154-position model. The record is from RNAcentral. Lineage: Eukaryota; Fungi.